This 1416-nucleotide long non-coding RNA is filed under the name Homo sapiens (human). RNAcentral's name for it is "PREDICTED lncRNA (TCONS_00153393)". Lineage: Eukaryota; Metazoa; Chordata; Mammalia; Primates; Hominidae. The record is from RNAcentral.
CACAGAAGGAGUUGAGUGAUGGUAGAUAUCAGGCCCUGGUCUGCGGCUUGGAAGUUUCCUGUGAAUAAGAAAAACAUCAUCGCUUCUUGAGUCACAAGGAUGAUAGGAUGAGAAAAAGAAAGGACAAAGGCACCAGAGGAGGUAUGCCAAAUGGGAAACUUUUCAUCACUUUCCAGAUAAAAACUAGCAGUCUGUGAAGGCAACUGGUCUGAUUUUUCAGGAACCAGACACUGGAACAUGUCGUCUGAUGUACAUCACACCAAGAAAUAAAAAAAGAAUUGGAAAGCCAAUGUCCAAUUAUUUACUAAAACAGAAUCCACUGGAGAGAAAUGCAAAGGCAGGUAAAAAGGCAAUCUCUUAACAUGAAAACUCACAACUGUAAAAUGAGAACCUAAACUAUACAGCGACAAACUCAGGAAAAAGUCUCCAGCUACUGCUGUCUCUCAGACUCUCACAGUAUGUGUAACCACUUCCUCCUCUGCACGGAAUCACCCCAGAAGAUCAACUCUACUAGAUCAUUUGAGGACAAUGAACAAAGUCUCAAGACUGAAUUCCCACAGAAAACAUUCUCAUGAAACCACCCAAUAUUCUGGUGAAGUUAAAGAAGGGCAUGUGUUCGGAGACAACCAGAAGCAGCAAUGCUCAAAACCACAAAACUCUGGAUUGCCGACUCUGCACAUCCUGGUUCCUCUAGAUACAGUUCAGUGGCACAUUCACAAAUAAACGUUUUCAAAAACUGCCCUCAGGCAGUUCUAGAGAAAUGCUUUGACUUGCCUAAUGGUAUAAUGUCAAGAAAGGAAGACGAGCACUGAUCAUUCAUACUCAUUAUUACAGUCACAGGGCACUGUCUGACUUGACAGAUACAGCCGAGCAGUUAAAAGGUUAUGGGAAUUUAAGUCCAUUAUGGUCAUACGAUUCUUAUGGACCCAGAGAUAUGAAAUUAAUCAGCCACAUGUGUAGGGACAAAGUUUGUCAUAAAUAGAUAUAAGUUAUCUGCAUGCUAAGAACUUAGUUACUUAACUCUGUUUCCUCAUGUUAAUAUAAACAUAAUUAUAGAAUGCAAAUGAAAUACUUAGCCUGGAGCCUAUUAUAUAGGAAGCACUCAAUAAUUUCAAACUAUUGAGUAUAUUAUUAGAUAGGCUCCAUAAUUAUUUAUUCCUUUUUCAACAGACAGUAUGAUCUAUUGAAAAUAAAGCCAAACUAGAUUUCUUUGACCCACUCCUUUUUCUGUUUGUAUUGUUGGCAAGUUGUUCUAAAUCAACUUGCCAACAUACUAUUAACAUGUUAUUAACAUAGAAGGGAUGCUUAUUUUGUUUGCUUUGUAAGAAAUGCUUCUGAUUCAGUAACUGGGCAAUUUAUUUAAAUAUAAGUAAAAAGCAGAUUUUAUUAAAAACUACUUUGUGCUAUCAUAAAUAA